UCCUUGUCGGGUAAGUUCCGACCUGCACGAAUGGCGUAAUGAUGGCCAGGCUGUCUCCACCCGAGACUCAGUGAAAUUGAACUCGCUGUGAAGAUGCAGUGUACCCGCGGCAAGACGGAAAGACCCCGUGAACCUUUACUAUAGCUUGACACUGAACAUUGAGCCUUGAUGUGUAGGAUAGGUGGGAGGCUUUGAAGCGUGGACGCCAGUCUGCGUGGAGCCGACCUUGAAAUACCACCCUUUAAUGUUUGAUGUUCUAACGUGGACCCGUAAUCCGGGUUGCGGACAGUGUCUGGUGGGUAGUUUGACUGGGGCGGUCUCCUCCUAAAGAGUAACGGAGGAGCACGAAGGUUGGCUAAUCCUGGUCGGACAUCAGGAGGUUAGUGCAAUGGCAUAAGCCAGCUUGACUGCGAGCGUGACGGCGCGAGCAGGUGCGAAAGCAGGUCAUAGUGAUCCGGUGGUUCUGAAUGGAAGGGCCAUCGCUCAACGGAUAAAAGGUACUCCGGGGAUAACAGGCUGAUACCGCCCAAGAGUUCAUAUCGACGGCGGUGUUUGGCACCUCGAUGUCGGCUCAUCACAUCCUGGGGCUGAAGUAGGUCCCAAGGGUAUGGCUGUUCGCCAUUUAAAGUGGUACGCGAGCUGGGUUUAGAACGUCGUGAGACAGUUCGGUCCCUAUCUGCCGUGGGCGCUGGAGAACUGAGGGGGGCUGCUCCUAGUACGAGAGGACCGGAGUGGACGCAUCACUGGUGUUCGGGUUGUCAUGCCAAUGGCACUGCCCGGUAGCUAAAUGCGGAAGAGAUAAGUGCUGAAAGCAUCUAAGCACGAAACUUGCCCCGA
This 837-nucleotide ribosomal RNA is filed under the name Salmonella enterica. RNAcentral's name for it is "partial 23S ribosomal RNA". It matches the Rfam family "Bacterial large subunit ribosomal RNA", at positions 1966 to 2802 of the family's 2925-position model. Lineage: Bacteria; Pseudomonadati; Pseudomonadota; Gammaproteobacteria; Enterobacterales; Enterobacteriaceae. The record is from RNAcentral.